RNAcentral lists this ribosomal RNA (469 nucleotides) under uncultured bacterium. RNAcentral's name for it is "bacterial SSU rRNA". It matches the Rfam family "Bacterial small subunit ribosomal RNA", at positions 26 to 507 of the family's 1533-position model. The record is from RNAcentral.
AGGACGAACGCUGGCGGCGUGCCUAACACAUGCAAGUCGAACGGGGUAAUGACUUCGGUUAUUGCUUAGUGGCGAACGGGUGAGUAACGCGUGAGAAACCUGCCUUUCAGUGGGGGACAACAGUUGGAAACGACUGCUAAUACCGCAUAACAUCUUCUGGGGACACUCCCCUAAAGAUACAAAGCUUUAUGUGCUGAAAGAUGGCCUCGCGUCUGAUUAGCUAGUUGGUGAGGUAACGGCCCACCAAGGCAACGAUCAGUAGCCGGUCUGAGAGGAUGAACGGCCACAUUGGGACUGAGAUACGGCCCAGACUCCUACGGGAGGCAGCAGGUGGGGAAUAUUGGGCAAUGGGGGAAACCCUGACCCAGCAACGCCGCGUGAAGGAAGAAGGCCUUCGGGUUGUAAACUUCUUUUACCAGGGACGAAGAACGUGACGGUACCUGGAGAAAAAGCAACGGCUAACUACGUG